AUGAACGCUAGCGACAGGCUAACACAUGCAAGUCGAGGGGUAACAGGGUAGCAAUACCGCUGACGACCGGCGCACGGGUGAGUAACGCGUAUGCAACCUGCCUAUAAACUGGGGAAUAGCUCCCUGAAAGGGGGAAUUAACACCGCAUAACACUAUUGAUUCGCAUGGAUUAGUAGUUAAAUGUAGCGAUACAGGUUAUAGAUGGGCAUGCGUGACAUUAGCUAGUUGGUGAGGUAACGGCUCACCAAGGCUACGAUGUCUAGGGGUUCUGAGAGGAAGGUCCCCCCACACUGGUACUGAGACACGGACCAGACUCCUACGGGAGGCAGCAGUGAGGAAUAUUGGUCAAUGGGCGCAAGCCUGAACCAGCCAUGUCGCGUGCAGGAAGAACCUGCCCUAUGGGUUGUAAACUGCUUUUAUAGUAGAAGAAACACAUCUACGCGUAGAUGUCUGCCAGUAUACUAUGAAUAAGCAUCGGCUAACUCCGUGCCAGCCGCCGC
This 500-nucleotide ribosomal RNA is filed under the name uncultured bacterium. RNAcentral's name for it is "bacterial SSU rRNA". It matches the Rfam family "Bacterial small subunit ribosomal RNA", at positions 29 to 518 of the family's 1533-position model. The record is from RNAcentral.